RNAcentral lists this long non-coding RNA (4244 nucleotides) under Gossypium barbadense (sea-island cotton). RNAcentral's name for it is "long non-coding RNA (GBAR_LNC005071)". The record is from RNAcentral. Lineage: Eukaryota; Viridiplantae; Streptophyta; Magnoliopsida; Malvales; Malvaceae.
GCCAUUUGAAUCAAAGCACUAUCUAAUAUCUACCAUAUGCACUCAAUCAUCAACAAAAUGCCAAACAUAAAUAUACAUUGAUUCAUUAUUCUAACUCAAGAGUGGUAAACAUGUUAGAAGGCUAAUACCUAAUUCAACACUUCCAUGUCAACCAAAUUAAAUCACCAAUUUCAAUAGGACAUCUAGCUUAUUUAAAGAAAACACCAUUUCCAAACAUUUACAAAUAUAAAUAUAAUUAUAUCAAAAUAUCUAUAUCAUUUACCAAGAUUAUAAGUUAUAUAUCAUACACGUAACAUUCAUCCAAAUUAUCUAUAGACGAAAUAUUUUAAUCAACUAAUAUGCCUAAGUACAUGCCAAAAACACAAAAGAGGACAUCACCGAUGUUGAGUACAGGAUUCUUGUAGGAUGUUGAGUUAAAGUCUACUAUUUAUCUAACCUGUAAACAUGGAAACCAAUCCACAUUAAGUAGAUUUCACUUAUUUGAAUAACCACAAGUAUAUCUAAAGCAUUUGAAUUUAUUUCACAACUUUAAUCAUCUAAUUCAAGAAAUAUAUCAUAUCUUCCAAUGAAUAAAUAUAUAUACAUAAGUAAAUAUAAUACUUCCUUAAUAAUACCUAUAACCAACUGUCUUCAAUGGUUCAUAUAACCUUAAUGUAUAGUCCAAUCGAUACAUGGUGGAUAAACUAUAGAAGAGUUUGCGCCUAAUGUUUGUCGGAUAAACCGACAAAUGUGUUCCUAGCACUAGUUAGAUAAACUGACGGAAGUUGCACCUAACGCUAGCCAGAUAAACCGAAAAAUAUAUACCUAGCACUAGUCAGAUAAACCGGCAAAUGUGUGCCCAACACUAGUUAGAUAAAUUGACAGAAGUUGUGCCCAAAACUAGUUGGAUAAAUCGACGAAUAAAUAUUGAGCCCAGCUCUAGUUUGACAUACCAACGAUAUUUGCACCCAGUGCUAGUCGGAUAAACCGACGAAUAAAUACUUAUUUAUUUUCACAAUUUCCUCAUUCAUUAAUUAACAUCACCAUUCAAAUAUGAACAUAAUAUUGUAUAUCAAGUAUUUAAAUAACAUCUAAUUAUUAAUUAAAUAAAUUAUUAAUAAAAAGGUUAAGUUCGAGACUACGAACUUACCAAAAUACAAUAGGUGCUACGAAUCAAAGACGUCUACUCAGUGAUCUUUUCCUUCCCACGGUUGAUACCCGAUCUAUUCUUCUCUUUAUCAAAUUAACAAAUUAAUUCCAUUACUUAAUUUGAAUAUCAUACUUGUUUUCAAUUAAGUUAAUUAACCUUAGAUCAUAGUUAUACUUUUACCCUCAACAAUUGAAAUUUACUCAACUUAAUCAUUAACAUCAAAAUUAGCUUAAUUGCCAUCUUCAUCUAAUUUCCAUAACUAACCACAUAUACAAAUAAUUUAUUAACAAUCCCUAAAUUCUUGAAUUUUAUAACUUAACGCCAUGCUAGUUUAAUUUAUAGCAUUUAACUCCUUGAAAGCUAAUACUAAUAAAACUCAUAAUACAAAAUAUUUUACUUGCUCACUUAACUUAGUAAUUCAACUCAAAUUUCCAGCACAAAGAACAAUUCACCAAAACAGUCCCUAGACUUCACCAAAAUUAACAAUUUAACCCCUAAUUCUAUCAAAACAACUUCAAACAUUAGAGUUUUUCAACAAUGGCAGCUUCCACAAAGGUCAUAAUUUCUCAAAAUUUCCACAUAGGUAAUCUACUAUAUGAUUUUAAGGUUCCAAAAAUAUAAAGUUUAAUUAAAAAUAAUCAAAUCAUACCAAUAAAGUUGAGCUUCAAAAAUGAAACUUAAAAGCCGAAUGGUGCUAACCUUUUUCUUCUCCAAAUCGGCAUGCAAAAGAGAUGAAGCUUUAAUUUUGUUUCUCUUUCCUUUUUCUUUCCCCAAUACUCUAUUUGUUUCUUUUAUUUUAUUCAUAUUUUCAUUUCAUUUUUAUUAUAACUUAACAUAAUUACUUAUUUAAGCAUUAUCAUACAAUUAACUUAUAUCCAUUAACCAAAACUCAUCAAAUUAAAGGACUAUUUGUUUAAAUAGUCCCUUAUUCUAAUCCCACUUUGAAAUUUAAUACUAAUUACUAAUUUAUCACCCACUCAUUUUAAUUUAAUAAUUCAACCCCCAAGAAUAUUUAUACUCAAACUUUUGACCCUUUAAAUAAAUUUCACAUCUUUGCAUUCAAUAUAUAUAUACCAUUAAAUCCUUAAUCCAAAACCUCCAAAUUUUAGUUUUCCCCAAUCAAUUCCCAUCAAACCAAUGUAUAUUAUUUUACAGCAUUCCCUUAAUCACUAUAAAUCACGAUUUAAAUCAUGUUAUUUUGAAUUUACAACAUUUUAAGUCCCUAGAAAUUAAUAUCAACAAAAAUCACCACUCAAUUUGACCAAAUUAGCCCAUAAGGCUUAUAAUUUACUCAUCACCUCAAAGACAUUUAACAUUCUUAAAAAAACAGUACCUACACUCUUCAUGAUUUAUCAAAUCAGUCCCUACUUAAGAUUGGUCUAGCUUCAACAAUUUUAAAAGUGUAAAAUUUGUUAAAGUGGUAGCUCAAACACGUACAUAUAUAUAAAUAUAAUUUCAUAAUCACUCACAAAUUUAACAUCCAACAAAAUAACACCGAACAUUUAAAAUUUUCAUCAAUUUCAUGUAAAAAUAACCAAAAUUCACUAACCAAAUUAAACAUGCAACAAGAGCUCUUGGCCGUGCAACUUCUCCCUUCUUUCCUUUUUGUUUCGGGAAAAAGAAAAUUAAAGAAAAUUUUUGCUUGGCUUUCCCCUCCCCACUAACCAUUAUCUCCCAUCUAUUAUUAAUAUAUAUAUAUAUAUAUAUAUAUAUAUCCUUUUAUAACAAAUUUUAACUUAAUUAUCAUACUAACUUAACACAUGUGAUACUUUUAAUAUUUACUAAAACCGUCCACCAUCACACACUUAUAUAAAUAACGGCUUAUUUAUUUAAUAAGUCCCUUAAUAUAGAUUCAUCUUAUAAUUUAGUAUUAAUUCUUACAUUUAUGACUUAUUUAAUUUAGCCCCUUUACUUUAAUUUAACACUCUUUCGUCAAAAUUACAUAACCAAAAAUUUAAUUCACUUCUAAUAUAACUCUGUAAACAUUUAAUAAAAAUAUUUACGAGCCCGAUUUAGGGGAACGAGGUCCUAACACCUUAAUUUCCAAAGCAUCAACUUUAGAAUCGAUACACUUGUACCUUGUCUAACUUUCUAAUAAUUAAAAUUAUUAGAUCAACAUCAAUAUAAUACUGUUAUACCUUCAUAAUUAUGAAUAAAUAAUAUUCACUAAUUCUAUCUUCGGAAAACAACAUUCUGAAGCCACCGUUUUUUACUUCAAUGACUUUUGGGUCAUUACACCUAAAGUUGAUUUGUAAUUACUAACUCAAUUCAAAUGCAAUAGCAUCCUAACAACCAUCAUGCAAUGAAACCAUUAAUCCCAAAUCUUCGUAACUCAUCAAACUCAAUUCAAAUGCAGUAGCAUCCUAAAUACCAUCACUAUCAUUAAUCCCAAAUCUUCAUAAUUCAGUUCAAAUGCAAUAGCAUCUUAAGAACCAUCAUGCAAUGAACUAUUUCCACUUUUCUUUUAACCCCACAAAAAUGCAUAAAUAUGAACCAAUGAAAAAGUGAACACAACAACAACAUCAACCUUUCAUCUUUAAGAGAAAAAAUAAUUAUCAAAAACACCUUACAUGAAAAGGAAAAAAAUCCAAAAAUCAACAGCUUAUAGCACUUAAAAGAGAAAAUCAAAAACCUGUUUCAUUUGAGGAAAAUCUUGAUCCCAAAAUAGGCAAAUAAACUCGUGAUUCGACAUACUAAUUUGCAUAAGAAAAAAAAAACAAUCAUCAGUUUUAAGGUUACCUAUGUUGCACAAGCUUCUUUGAAAAUUACUUGCUUUCGGUUCAAGAAAUCUGAAUCAGUACUGAGAGAUUGAUUAGCAAUUCUAUGAUCUGGUGUUCUUCAAUUGAGUCUGGAUUUUUUCCUUGCUGAAGAUUUUGCCCUUAAUUAAGAAAUUUUUAUGAUCUCGAUUCCUAUGAGAAAAAGAUUGAAGAAGUUGGUGAGGAGCAAUGGUGUUUUAGGGCUUUGGAAAAUGGAGAAGGGAAUGAGGGCAAAAAUGAAAAAAUAAUAAUCUUUUAGCAUUCCUACGUGUUUUGAAUGGGCAAUUUCGAGGUUGGGGCAAAGAAUGUUAUUCAGUAUCUAUUCAAUGAUUAGUGAGAAUAGAAAACUAAACAUCAAC